This 252-nucleotide ribosomal RNA is filed under the name uncultured bacterium. RNAcentral's name for it is "partial 16S ribosomal RNA". It matches the Rfam family "Bacterial small subunit ribosomal RNA", at positions 524 to 776 of the family's 1533-position model. The record is from RNAcentral.
UACGGAGGAUGCGAGCGUUAUCCGGAUUUAUUGGGUUUAAAGGGUGCGUAGGCGGGAUGCCAAGUCAGCGGUAAAAAUGCGGUGCUCAACACCGUCGAGCCGUUGAAACUGGCGUUCUUGAGUGGGCGAGAAGUAUGCGGAAUGCGUGGUGUAGCGGUGAAAUGCAUAGAUAUCACGCAGAACUCCGAUUGCGAAGGCGGCAUACCGGCGCCCUACUGACGCUGAGGCACGAAAGCGUGGGUAUCGAACAGG